AUGUGGGAUUUCUAAGACAACUAGGAUGUUGGCUUAGAAGCAGCCACUCAUUUAAAGAGUGCGUAAUAGCUCACUAGUCGAGAGAUCCUGCGCCGAAGAUGUAACGGGGCUCAAACUUACCACCGAAGCUAUGGAUGUGUACUAUGUACACGUGGUAGAGGAGCUUUCUGUACAGGUUGAAGUCAUACCGUAAGGAGUGGUGGACAGUACAGAAGUGAGAAUGCUGGCAUAAGUAGCGAAAAACAAGUGAGAAUCUUGUUGACCGAAUAUCUAAGGUUUCCUGGGGAAGGCUCGUCCUCCCAGGGUUAGUCGGGACCUAAGCCGCGGCCGAAAGGCGUAGGUGAUGGACAACUGGUUGAUAUUCCAGUACCACCAUAAUGCGUUUGACAAAUGGGAUGACGCAGGAGGAUAGGAUGUGCGCACUAUUGGAUGUGCGUCUAAGCACUUAGGGUGUUAAGUAGGCAAAUCCGCUUAACAUUAAGCCUGAGGUGUGAUGGGGAGCCUAUUUUGGCGAAGUAUCUGAUUCCACGCUGCCAAGAAAAGUCUCUAUGGAGCAAAAUGGUGCCCGUACCGCAAACCGACACAGGUAGAUGAGGAGAGAAUCCUAAGGUCGUCGGAAGAAUUAUUGCUAAGGAACUCGGCAAAUUGACCCCGUAACUUAGGGAGAAGGGGUGCCUACGAGAGUAGGCCGCAGUGAAUAGGCUCAAGCAACUGUUUAUCAAAAACACAGG
RNAcentral lists this ribosomal RNA (731 nucleotides) under Clostridium botulinum C/D. RNAcentral's name for it is "partial 23S ribosomal RNA". It matches the Rfam family "Bacterial large subunit ribosomal RNA", at positions 1073 to 1819 of the family's 2925-position model. The record is from RNAcentral. Lineage: Bacteria; Bacillati; Bacillota; Clostridia; Eubacteriales; Clostridiaceae.